CCUAAUCAAAUUAAAACCCAAAAUCGUAGAUCUGAUAUGUUCUGCUCUCUCACGAUCUCACCCCCUCCUUCAUUUCUGGACUGUUCAGUUUCCUAUCGACCCUGACGACCAACCAACUAGUGGUUUGCCACCGACGGCGUCCACCACCUCUCGUUCGUCUCCCUCUCUCACCCACUCUCACCCACUCUCUAACCCCUUGCGCCUCGCUCAUCACUAUCUCCUCUCUCUCACACCUAGCACGAAGAUUGGGGAAAGAAAAAUCUUUGGUUAUUCUGCUUUCUUACCUUAGUCGAAUUCUCCAUCAAUUUCUCUCUUCAUCUCACUAAUUCCUUUCUCUCUGCAGCGGUCUCUCUCUAAAAGCGGUUGGAACAUUUUCGAACUCUGAUUUUCAGGAUUAGUAAAAGAGCCACAUAAGUUAAGUGUGUGAAGUGAUUGUGUUGAAUGAGUAAAGAUGCAGUAAUAGCAAGCAGGUUCGUGGGUUGUCUGUGAUUUUGUGGGCUGUUGUUUUCUUAAUCUCGAUUGAUUGCAGGUUUGCUGAUAAAUUGCAAAUUAAUUAUACAUGCUUGCUUCCUAUGUAUUUUGUAAAAUAAUGGUGCGAUGUCUCUGUUACGUUGUUGUGUUUUGUUUGAAUUUUGUAGAAGCUGAAAGGUUGUUUGAUGGUAUGCUUAUCCAAGACGUGCUUCCCAUCUCUUCCCAUAGAGCUCUAGCCUUUGAUAAGGCCUAGGAUAAGAUAAAGAAAAAGAAGGAUGGAGUUAAAAGGAGAAAGUAUUCAAGAAGCACCUGAGAUAGUGAUGGUGAUCUAAAUGACAAUGGUACUUGUGCUGAAGUAAAGACCAUGAUAUGGCUGAUGACUUAUAUUAUGUAUUUUGUUGUUGGUUUCAAACAUGCACACGGUAUACUUGUUUUGUUACUGACUCAAUGCCUUAGAAUCUUGUUAGCAUCUCAAUAUGUUUAGAGGUGUUAGGAUGCUUAUGUUAGCUUUUGAGAUAUACACUUAGUGUAUGUAUUGGAUAUAACCUAACUUAUUGAUCAAUGAAAUGUGAUUAACCAAA
Pyrus x bretschneideri (Chinese white pear) is the source of this 1052-nucleotide long non-coding RNA. RefSeq lists it as uncharacterized. NCBI's taxonomy places the organism in Eukaryota, Viridiplantae, Streptophyta, Magnoliopsida, Rosales, Rosaceae. The record is from RefSeq and is a predicted model, not a curated record. The transcript has 3 exons.